This 463-nucleotide unclassified non-coding RNA is filed under the name Hevea brasiliensis (rubber tree). Lineage: Eukaryota; Viridiplantae; Streptophyta; Magnoliopsida; Malpighiales; Euphorbiaceae. The record is from RNAcentral.
AAAAAGGAUAAUCAAACUUCCCCCAACUCAUCUGGAGAAGAGAGGAUAAAAAGCCAAAUUGGAGAAUUUAACUCAAAAGCCGAAGGGAGAGAAAGGAAAGGAAAAGUUGGGAAUUGAUGGAAGAAAAGGAUCCACAGGUGUUGAAUCCCUCUGCUACAUACAAAUAUACAUACUUGGCAAUGAAAACUUGACCCUACUCAGAAAAUUGAGAACUAUCCAGUUUUGAAGCAGCUAGCUUGUCCAAAAACCAGACCAACUUCCCUUUCGUUGGCUGAACCAUCCGAGCAGGCAGAGGUGGGUGGUCAGGUCCCACAUCAUCGAUUGCCAAGUGGACUGCCUCUGCUUUGUCCUCACCUGCUACAACCACUGCCACAUUUGACGCUGAGUUUAUUACAGGCAGAGUGAAAGUGAUCCUCUCAGGUGGGGGCUUGGGGGAAUUAGUAAUAAAAGUUACCCAUUCAUU